GACGAACGCUGGCGGCGUGCCUAAUACAUGCAAGUUGAGCGCUGAAGUUUGGUACUUGUACCAACUGGAUGAGCAGCGAACGGGUGAGUAACGCGUGGGGAAUCUGCCUUUGAGCGGGGGACAACAUUUGGAAACGAAUGCUAAUACCGCAUAAAAACUUUAAACACAAGUUUUAAGUUUGAAAGAUGCAAUUGCAUCACUCAAAGAUGAUCCCGCGUUGUAUUAGCUAGUUGGUGAGGUAAAGGCUCACCAAGGCGAUGAUACAUAGCCGACCUGAGAGGGUGAUCGGCCAAAUUGGGAAUGAGAAACGGCCCCAACUCCUACGGGAGGCCGCCGGAGGGGAUCUUCGGCAAUGGAGGAAAGUCUGACCGAGCAAAGCCGCGUGAGUGAAGAAGGUUUUCGGAUCGUAAAACUCUGUUGGUAGAGAAGAACGGUGGUGAGAGUGGAAAGCUCAUCAAGUGGCGGUAACUAACCAGAAAGGGACGGCUAACUACGUG
This 497-nucleotide ribosomal RNA is filed under the name uncultured bacterium. Its description in RNAcentral is "partial 16S ribosomal RNA". It matches the Rfam family "Bacterial small subunit ribosomal RNA", at positions 28 to 507 of the family's 1533-position model. The record is from RNAcentral.